CAGCCGCCGCGGUAAUACGUAGGGUGCAAGCGUUAAUCGGAAUUACUGGGCGUAAAGCGUGCGCAGGCGGUUAUAUAAGUCAGAUGUGAAAUCCCCGGGCUCAACCUGGGACCUGCAUUUGUGACUGUAUAGCUAGAGUACGGUAGAGGGGGAUGGAAUUCCGCGUGUAGCAGUGAAAUGCGUAGAGAUGUGGAGGAACACCGAUGGCGAAGGCAGCCCCCUGGGCCAAUACUGACGCUCAUGCACGAAAGCGUGGGGAGCAAACAGGAUUAGAUACCCGUGUAGUCCCUGUCUCUUAUAC
RNAcentral lists this ribosomal RNA (301 nucleotides) under uncultured bacterium. Its description in RNAcentral is "partial 16S ribosomal RNA". It matches the Rfam family "Bacterial small subunit ribosomal RNA", at positions 509 to 807 of the family's 1533-position model. The record is from RNAcentral.